Toxorhynchites rutilus septentrionalis is the source of this 1759-nucleotide RNA transcript. It is a transcript of the gene named carboxypeptidase B-like, with no coding region annotated. Lineage: Eukaryota; Metazoa; Arthropoda; Insecta; Diptera; Culicidae. The record is from RefSeq and is a predicted model, not a curated record. The transcript has 5 exons.
AACAAUACGCAGUGUGUGUAUCUUUUCAAUAUAUUUCCAUCGAUAAGAUGAAAGCUGUUAUGUUUAUGUUUGGUUUGUUAUUCUUCAACGUUGGAUUUAAGAUGAGCAGAUAUCGGUUCAGUGGACUAAUAUUCACAGUGGGUAUCCUGAGUCUGAUACCGAUCGGAAUGAAUGGGAUGACGUUCGAAGACUACCACAUGUACACCAUCCGUCCGGAAACCCUUGGGCAGUUGAAAAUAUUACACAAAGUAAAAGAAACUGCUGGGUUCGACUUUUGGGAUGUUCCGAAGAUGCACCGUGCGUCCAGAGUAAUGGUCAAGAGAAUUGACGCCAGAGUGUUCGAGAAGUUUCUGAAACGUUAUGGAAUUUAUUAUGAACAGGCUGAGAAAAACGUUCAACAGAUAUUGGAUCAAGAGAAACUCAAGAUUAGGCAGAGAAGAUAUAAACGAUCCAUCGGUCUGGACUAUACCGUAACUUUCAAACACUACUGGAGUCUGGAAGAAAUCUACGAAUACAUUGAAUAUUUGGGGUCAUUUCAUCCUAUGGUUAAUAGUAUAACUAUUGGAAAUACUCAUGAACAACGAUCAAUCAAAGCUGUCACUAUAUCGUUGGAUGGACAAAUCACGAUGAAACGUCCUGUGGUGUUCAUAGAUGCCGGCAUCCACGCGCGCGAAUGGGCUGGAAUCAUGGCUGUUAUGUACAUGAUCCAUGAAUUCGCCGAAAACACAAGAUGGUACGGUGAACAGCUUAACAACACGGACUACGUCAUCAUUCCCGUGCUGAAUCCGGAUGGUUUCGUGUACUCACGUGAGGUGAAUCGUUUGUGGAGGAAGAAUCGGGUACGGCUACACAGCGAAUGCGUAGGUGUUGAUUUGAAUCGUAACUUUCCUUACGCUUGGGUGAACAGCGGUACUAUGUGCAAGCCUUAUUUCGCUGGUUCACGACCGGGUUCCGAGCUGGAAACACGUGCUAUGAUGAACUUGAUGGAGCGCUUUAAAGCCGCUGUAAAGUUGUACAUAGCGGUGCACACCCACGGGGAGAUGAUCUUGUGGCCAUGGGGAUACAAAGUGGUCCGUUGCGAUAACUGGCGCGAACAUGACCAUUACGCGAAGAUGGCCAGCAAUGCGAUCAAGACAGCUGGUGGCAAACAGUGGAGGGUGGGGAACUCAGCGGAACUCAUGUACAUAGCCAGUGGAGCUUCCGAUGAUUAUGCUCACGCCAACGGAGUUCGGCUGGCAUAUACAAUCGAACUCACCGGAGGUGGCCAGUAUGGAUUCGAUUUGCCCGAGGAAGAACUGGGCAAAGCUCUCGCGCAAACCAUGCAGAUUUUCAAGGUGUUCGGAAAGGUCGCGGGAAGGUCGCUUAAUUCAACUUUUCCAUAAGUACUUUUGGUUCAUUUUUUUAGCUAGUAUAGCAUUACUUAAAAAUUUCUCUAUUCGUCUUUAAUUCGUAGAACAUUUAGCAUAGGGAGUAUAGAUUGCAUUUGAUGUAUGCAACAGGAUUGAAACUGUCACAGAUAUAAAGCAUGCGUUAAAUAAUUCUUUAAAAAAUAUAGUACACAAAUGCAUCGCGUCCAAUAUUUUCUUAUAUAAAUAUAAUCAUCGAUUAUUUUACAUAUGCCUAUGUUCCGGAACAACACCGCUUUCAAUGUUUUUCGAAUCUGUUCAAAGGAUCACGGACUAGAACAGAACGAAAACUCUUACGCCUAUAUGGCAACUGUGUAAAUGUGUACCAUAUGCAAUCGUAUAGAAGGGAAUAC